This 265-nucleotide long non-coding RNA is filed under the name Mustela putorius furo (domestic ferret). RNAcentral describes it as "lncRNA (ENSMPUG00000024998.1)". Lineage: Eukaryota; Metazoa; Chordata; Mammalia; Carnivora; Mustelidae. The record is from RNAcentral.
GUUUGCAGUGUGGAUGACCCUCCAUCGUGCUUCCCUUCAGGGGGCCUGUUGCUGGACAGAUGGAUGUGGAAGGCACAUCAGACCUGGUAAAGCCCUUCCACUGUGAGAUUCUAGUCCUCUGCACAAAUGAAGAACGUCUGAUUGCAAUCACCCUGCAACGGUCUAUUUAUUCCUGGACGUCUUCUUCCCUGACUCCAUUUCCAGGCUAGUGAACUCUUGCUUGUGGGUAAAAUAUACCCUCUUGAAAAUGUUAUAUAUAUAUAUA